Molecule: ribosomal RNA, 497 nt
Filed under: uncultured bacterium
Lineage: Bacteria
Description: partial 16S ribosomal RNA
Rfam family: Bacterial small subunit ribosomal RNA
Source: RNAcentral
GAUGAACGCUGGCGGCGUGCCUAAUACAUGCAAGUCGAGCGAACAGACGAGGAGCUUGCUCCUUUGACGUUAGCGGCGGACGGGUGAGUAACACGUGGAUAACCUACCUAUAAGACUGGGAUAACUUCGGGAAACCGGAGCUAAUACCGGAUAAUAUGUCGAACCGCAUGGUUCAAUAGUGAAAGAUGGCUUUGCUGUCACUUAUAGAUGGAUCCGCGCCGGAUUAGCUAGUUGGUAAGGUAACGGCUUACCAAGGCAACGAUGCGUAGCCGACCUGAGAGGGUGAUCGGCCACACUGGAACUGAGACACGGUCCAGACUCCUACGGGAGGCAGCAGUAGGGAAUCUUCCGCAAUGGGCGAAAGCCUGACGGAGCAACGCCGCGUGAGUGAAGAAGGUCUUCGGAUCGUAAAACUCUGUUAUUAGGGAAGAACAAACGUGUAAGUAACUGUGCACGUCUUGACGGUACCUAAUCAGAAAGCCACGGCUAACUACGUG